AUUUUGAUUCCGUCGUCUAGAAAGGCAUUUUGGAUUUUUUUGGCUGUUUUCCAGAAACCAAUCGCGCCGUUUUAGGAAACGUUGCCGUUCGAAUUUUAUGGUUUUUGUAUAGAAGUUUGCAGGCCCCUUCUGAUUAAGGAAGCAGUGGCCAUCGUUUUUGCCGCUUUUGUAUGUACGAUUCCAGAUGCGUGAGGUAUAGAAUCUUCAAAUUGCUCACCUUAAGUAGACAACGGCGUGCAUAUGUAGUUUAUCAUUGAAUAAUCAACCUCUCAUCACUAAAUUAUCGUUUAAGUUUGUUUUUAAUUUAGUUCACAAAUGAAUCAACCAAGUUAUCAUGCCAUAUUGAUACGAAAUUA
Pyrus x bretschneideri (Chinese white pear) is the source of this 356-nucleotide long non-coding RNA. RefSeq lists it as uncharacterized. The transcript is spliced from 3 exons. NCBI's taxonomy places the organism in Eukaryota, Viridiplantae, Streptophyta, Magnoliopsida, Rosales, Rosaceae. The record is from RefSeq and is a predicted model, not a curated record.